GUGCUCGCUUCGGCAGUACACAUGCUAAAAUUGGAACAACAUAGAAGAUUAGCAUGGCCCCUGUGCAAGGAUGACACACAAAUUCGUGAAGCAUCCCAUAAAAAU
This is a small nuclear RNA of Molossus molossus (Pallas's mastiff bat), 105 nucleotides long. The record is from RefSeq and is a predicted model, not a curated record. Lineage: Eukaryota; Metazoa; Chordata; Mammalia; Chiroptera; Molossidae.